This 497-nucleotide ribosomal RNA is filed under the name uncultured bacterium. RNAcentral's name for it is "partial 16S ribosomal RNA". It matches the Rfam family "Bacterial small subunit ribosomal RNA", at positions 28 to 507 of the family's 1533-position model. The record is from RNAcentral.
GAUGAACGCUGGCGGCGUGCCUAAUACAUGCAAGUCGAGCGAACAGACGAGGAGCUUGCUCCUCUGACGUUAGCGGCGGACGGGUGAGUAACACGUGGAUAACCUACCUAUAAGACUGGGAUAACUUCGGGAAACCGGAGCUAAUACCGGAUAACAUGUUGAACCGCAUGGUUCAACAGUGAAAGACGGUCUUGCUGUCACUUAUAGAUGGAUCCGCGCCGCAUUAGCUAGUUGGUAAGGUAACGGCUUACCAAGGCAACGAUGCGUAGCCGACCUGAGAGGGUGAUCGGCCACACUGGAACUGAGACAAGGUCCAGACUCCUACGGGAGGCAGCAGUAGGGAAUCUUCCGCAAUGGGCGAAAGCCUGACGGAGCAACGCCGCGUGAGUGAAGAAGGUCUUCGGAUCGUAAAACUCUGUUAUUAGGGAAGAACAAAUGUGUAAGUAACUAUGCACGUCUUGACGGUACCUAAUCAGAAAGCCACGGCUAACUACGUG